This 761-nucleotide ribosomal RNA is filed under the name uncultured bacterium. RNAcentral's name for it is "bacterial SSU rRNA". It matches the Rfam family "Bacterial small subunit ribosomal RNA", at positions 28 to 776 of the family's 1533-position model. The record is from RNAcentral.
GAUUAACGCUGGCGGUACGUCUAAUACAUGCAAGUCGAACGGAGAACCAAGACUUCGGUUUUGUUUCUUAGUGGCGAACGGGUGAGUAACACGUAGGUAACCUGCCUUUAAGUUGGGGAUAACAGUUAGAAAUGAUUGCUAAUACCGAAUGGUUUGGUUCCGAGGCAUCUCGGAACUUAUAAAGGUCCGUUUGGAUCGCUUAAAGAGGGGCCUGCGGUGCAUUAGUUAGUUGGUAGGGUAACGGCCUACCAAGACGAUGAUGCAUAGCUGGACUGAGAGGUUGAACAGCCACAUUGGGACUGAGAACGGCCCAAACUCCUACGGGAGGCAGCAGUAGAGAAUCUUCGGCAAUGGGGGAAACCCUGACCGAGCGAUACCGCGUGAAUGAAGAAGUAUUUCGGUAUGUAAAAUUCUUUUAUUAGGGAAGAACGACAUUAGUAGGAAAUGACUAGUGAGUGACGUUACCUAAUGAAUAAGUCCCGGCUAACUAUGUGCCAGCAGCCGCGGUAAUACAUAGGGGACGAGCGUUAUCCGGAUUAAUUGGGCGUAAAGGGUGCGUAGGCGGUCUUUUAAGUUUGAGGUUUAAAUGCAUGGCUCAACCAUGUAUCGCUUCAAAAACUGGGAGACUAGAACAAGUUAGAGGCAAGUGGAAUUCCAUGUGUAGCGGUAAAAUGCGUAAAUAUAUGGAGGAACACCAGUGGCGAAGCGGCUUGCUGGGGCUUUGUUGACGCUGAGGCACGAAAGCGUGGGGAGCAAACAGG